Spinacia oleracea (spinach) is the source of this 4689-nucleotide long non-coding RNA. RefSeq lists it as uncharacterized. The transcript has 11 exons. The record is from RefSeq and is a predicted model, not a curated record. NCBI's taxonomy places the organism in Eukaryota, Viridiplantae, Streptophyta, Magnoliopsida, Caryophyllales, Amaranthaceae.
CUAAACUGUCAUAUGAUAUUCUCCCUCCCGUGCUUCUCUGCAUCAGUUCCUAAAGUUUAUGGUCUUUGUCCCUUUUGACAAAGGGACAUGAGUCUUUCCUCGGUGUGGGCAUGUCUCAUUGUUUAAGCUGCUGUAACGAAGAGUGAAGAUUUCAUGCCUCCUGAAUCCUGCAGCUGUGGUUUUUAUUUGCUGAAAGCCUGAAACUGAGAGUGUCUAAUUUAAUGCCCCUUUAGUAGUGUGAUCUGUGAGUUGAUUGUCGAAUUUUGGUGAUAAUGGGAGAAGAUGGUAAAAUUGAUGUACUCUCCCGUCCUUUUCUAUCUCUAUCAAUAUUAGAUUUAGGGUUACAAGUAGACCUGUCAAACGGGUCGGUCGGGUCGGGUUGUAAAAAAUUAUUUUCGGGUUCGGGUUGAAUCGGGUCGGUCACUUUCGGGUUCGGGUUUACAAAUGUUUGUUCGAGACCCAGAACAUUCGGGUUCGGGUCGACCCAACGGGUUGAGAGAUUUUAAAACGCGCAUUAUAUUUUCAUUAAUUUGGGUGCUAAAAAUACACAAUAUGGGCCCAAAUUAACAAAUUUUCCUACACAAGUUUAUAUUUAGUCAAACUCAACCAUAAAAUGACGUAUAAUUCAAAUUAAAAUCAUAUUACACACAAAAAUAGUAAAAACAACGUGUUUAUUAUGCUUAAAUUUUCUCAUAAUCUCAUUUAUUACUAUAAAUACAAUGAUUUUCAAUCGGUCGGGUCCAAAACGGGUUCGGUCGGGUUUUGACCCAUUACUUUUCGGGUUGCUCGGGUUCGGAUAACAUCGGGUUACGGGUCACAAAAUCUUGUUCAGGACCCAGUAUUUUCGGGUCGGGUUCGGGUCGAUUUUCGGGUCGGGUCCAUUUUUGACAUGUCUAGUUACAAGUGUUGUCCAAAAGUUCAACUUAGAUUCGACAUCACAAGCAUGGGUUUGGUGUUUCAAUCUAGCGAGACUGAUAAUCCCCAAACAAUCUGUUCACUCGAAUCGGAUUAGACCUAUCUGAAAUUAAAAGAAAUGAUUUCGACACAAAUUUGAAUUAUUGUGAUUGGAAUUUAACUUACCCUAUCUUUAUAUCUUGAAAUUUGAACGUGAUCCUAAUGAAUAUAAUUCUAAUUGAAAAAGACCCGUAUUCUCCUUAUGCAGUCCAUUCAAAUUGUUUUUUAAGUCAAAGUAUCUCUAUAAUAAUAAUGGAUAAUCAUUUUAAAUAUUUAAGGUAUAUUAGGGCUAUAAAUAGUCAGUCCAAUCCUCAACGUUUAAGACAAACUAAUUUCCAAUAUUGAUACUGUUAAACUUUUAACUGUGGAACUGCACUGCCCGAUAAAUGCCAUUGUUUUGGUUAAAAUCUUAUUUGUAAUCGGAGAGGCUGGAUAUCAGCAUGAUAUAUUUCUCUUUCUCUUUGCUUACUCUCUUGUUUGAAAGCCAUCUCAUAUCGGUAAAAAUUUCAUAUUCUGUAUUCUGUAAUGAUAUUUGGGUUUGGUGAACUAGACACAGUAAAGGUAACUGCAACUUGCAAAAUUUUAGCUGAUACUCUAAUCUUCAACAAUCCCAUUAGAUUGUUUAAGGGAAGUGAUAAAUUUUAUAUAGAGAAUCUAGAUAGUGAUCCCAUUUUUUACAUGUUUGAUGAUAAUUCUCCAUAGUUUUUGUUUCAUUGGUAAACAUUUGCUUGGAAAAGUCUGCAAUAGCUUUUAAUAGAAGUGCAUAACAUACACUAUUAAUUCAUUAGAAAACACUUGUAGUACAAAUUGGAAAAUCAUUCAAAUGGAGCCUCAGCUAUGCUAGUAGUAGGGCCUUAUUAAUGAAAUACGAUAAUGUAAAACACAAUAGUAAUUUUAUCAGCAGCAUGUAAUCUCCAGUUUCUGAUCUUGUGUUAGCUGGUGCUAGCGCUGAGUUCUUCUUUGUUUAGCACUUCUGUAAGCAUAAGUAAAAAGAAUAAGUACAUCCUUUAAUUCUAUAAGAAAUCAAGAUUAAGAAAUGUUUGAAUUAUAUUGGAGACAGGUUAAUCCUAUACUUACCUUCCCAUGGCCUUCAUUGUCACUCUCGCUGUCACUGCUGUCAUCACUACACUUCUUGGAUGAUUUCUUCUUGAUAAUCUUCUCACUCUUAUUAUGUCCUGAUUUGUAGACUAUGUAUUCUUCUUUCUUCUCUUCGCAGCUUGCAUGGUGUGAAGAGUGGUGGUGGGUAGCGCCAUGGUGGCCAGAGUUGUGGUGGUUGAUUCCAUGAUGGGCAGAGCCAUGUUGGCCAGAGCUAUGGUUGGCACAGCCGUGGUUGCCAGAACUAUGACCAACUUGUCCGUGGUGCCCGGAACUAUGACCGACAUGUCCGUGGUGCCCAGAACUAUGACCGACAUGUCCGUGGUGCCCAGAGCCAUGGCUGACAUGGCCUAUGUGGCCAGAGCCAUGGCUGUCAUGGCCUAUGUGGCCAGAGCCAUGGCUGGCAUGGCCGUGGUGGGUAUAGACAUGGUUGGCAUGGCCAUUGUGGCCUGCCAUGUUGUGCCCAACUUGGUUUGUUGCACACCCAACUGCUUUGUGGACCCCUUGCUUGUGAUCUGACGAGUUGCAACCUUGAGAAACAUUGCUGCACUUCAUCUUCUUUUCAGCUUCGCUCCUGGACAUCUGCAUGCAAGCCAUGAUGACUGGUAGUUGGGCAGUGGGUUCUUGAGAUUUUAGUGUAUAGGAGGAGGUUUUUAAUUUUGGCUGAGCUUGAUGAUCAAAGACAAGGCAUAAAACUAGCUCUUCUAUCUGUCAAGCUCCGAAUUUGAAUAACAUGGUGGUGCAUGCAAAACUUUUACAUCAGAUGGUUAUUUUUCUGCAAGUUGGAUUCUUUUGACGUCUACCACUUGAGGACUCGAGGAACUCAUGUGCAGUGCUAGUUUAGCAAAUCUGCAGGACUGGGAAAGAGUGCUUCAAAAGAAAAGUAGGUGACAAAUUUAUCAAAGAAAAAAGUUCAGGCUUCAGAGGCCGAAGCUGGUCACGUAGACGGCUGGAACACAUACUCUCCCUAGUCAUUCACCCAAAUAAAGCCCUCCUUAACAACCUCUGCAGCUCCAUCAUGAUGGUGGUGCUCCUACCUAGGGAUGCUGUGGGCCUUGUACACAACAUUGUUCACCUGCCAUUCCAGUCUCAACCAUGAUGUAUCCAGAUCCCAGAACAUGAAUCAUAAGGGCCAUCAGGAUAUUUUGAAUUGCUUUUCUGGUGCUUGUUAUAAUUAUCUUCACACCAAUCUCUAAAGUUAAGUUGCAGUCAAAUUCACUUUUUCAAUCAGCAUCUCAUUGAUGAGCGAUCCAAGUUGAACCAUCGUGUUGGGUGUUGCCCCCAUACAGAUAAUCUGAAAUAGGCGCUUUUUAAAAGAGUUGCGCAAGCUGCACCCACUAUCUCAGCUGCAAAGAAUCAGAACAUUGUAGCUUGCUGGAUUCUUUACAACUCUUUACCAGAUGCUGAGGACUCCCACUUCUGAUCUGUCACAAACUCACAAUUUAUGACCUAUUCUUUACUCUUGAGGUAGUAAAAGAAGCUUCAAGGCCACCUUUUCGGUCAGAUAGGUCCCACUCAGAUAGUCUGAUAUAAAAGAAGUGUGAAACCAGAACCCUUAUAAAAGAUGUUUGAAACCAGAACCCUUAUAUCUGCUGCAGAGAAUCAGAACAUUUUAGCAAGCGAUAUUCCUCACAACUCUCUUGGAUUCUCUUGGCAGGAAGGGUUGCAGAUGGAUGGUCGGGGUGUUGGUGGUGCAUUAUACGGUUUGAUGUGUGAAGGCAGCAAGCUGCUGAUUCUCUCAUUCAGAGAUGAGACAUGCCAGUUCAUGAUCUUGUGUCAUAGAACUGGUUUCGCUUUCAGAAGGUAGCUUGCUUUUUAAGGUGCACAAUUACAGGUAAUUAUUUUCGUUGUUCUCCACCGUUGUCAUUUCUAUAUUCUUGUAUAUUGCUUGAGAAUUGAGAAUUUGAGAUAUGUAAAGUAGGGAAGUGAUUUUGGCACACCCAUUGUGAGAGCACAACUGUGCACUUCUUACAGAGAGGUGUGCAAAAAUCAACAAAGUGAUCUUCUGUUUUCUAAAAGCAAACACCAUGUAUUAUAAUUUCAUUAGAAAACCAUAUACAUUCAAACAAAAUACAGUACAAGAUAACAAAGCACACAUCGUAUCGAAUGGCCCUUAACGACUAGCCUAUUAUAAGAGGCUAACAGAGGCCAUUUUAUUAUACUAAAUUAAUUAAUACCAUGGUUGCUGUCAAUUCUCUGUUCUGGAUCAUGCAGGUACCAACCCUCAGUACCUCUGCAAUACAUAAACGAGACAUGAAAGGGCAAGUUAGCUGAUAGGAUUAUGAUACAGGAUGGAAAACAAAUUGGACUCCGUACAAAUAAUAAAAUGUUAAAAAACUUUCAGAAACAGAGGACACUGAAAAUAAAGGGGUACGGUGUAUAAGCUAAAAAACACGUACCCUGUGGUAGCCAGGGAGGUUAUCAGCCACGAGGCCAGUUAUGGAAUUUCCCAAUGCGUUGGGGCGGGCGUGGCGGCCAGGGAUGAUAUCAGUCACAAUCCCAGUUACGGAAUUUCCGAAUGCGUCAGGGGAGGCGUGGGUGCCAGGAAUGACAUCAGUAACAAUCUCAGUUACUGAAUUUCCCAAUCCAUCGCGGCGGUAGUAGACGCGGUUCCCGUAUUCAUCAAUCCUGUAAUCAGCA